AAACCGCAACGGACCAUCUGCAG
Molecule: non-coding RNA, 23 nt
Filed under: Arabidopsis thaliana (thale cress)
Lineage: Eukaryota; Viridiplantae; Streptophyta; Magnoliopsida; Brassicales; Brassicaceae
Source: RNAcentral